GACGAACGCUGGCGGCGUGCUUAACACAUGCAAGUCGAACGGAAAGGCCCUGCUUUUGUGGGGUGCUCGAGUGGCGAACGGGUGAGUAACACGUGAGUAACCUGCCCUUGACUUUGGGAUAACUUCAGGAAACUGGGGCUAAUACCGGAUAGGAGCUCCUGCUGCAUGGUGGGGGUUGGAAAGUUUCGGCGGUUGGGGAUGGACUCGCGGCUUAUCAGCUUGUUGGUGGGGUAGUGGCUUACGAAGGCUUUGACGGGUAGCCGGCAUGAGAGGGUGACCGGCGACAUGGGGACUGAGAUACGGCCCAGACUCCUACGGGAGGCAGCAGUGGGGAGUAUUGCGGAGUAGGCGGAAGCCUGAUGCGGCAGCGCCGCGUGCGGAAUGACGGCCUUCGGGUUGUAAACCGCUUUCGCCUGUGACGAGGCGUGAGUGACGGUAAUGGGUAAAGAAGCACCGGCUAACUACGUG
Molecule: ribosomal RNA, 468 nt
Filed under: uncultured bacterium
Lineage: Bacteria
Description: partial 16S ribosomal RNA
Rfam family: Bacterial small subunit ribosomal RNA
Source: RNAcentral